GUGGAGCCGAGCGGAGCCGAGCGAGUGAGAAGCCGGAGGCCGAGAGGGCCGGGCCGACUUGAAGAGUUUUGGACAAAGAUGAAGAAACAAAUCUAGAGACUGGAUGACCUUGGAUCUCAGAAAUCUUUUUUGGUAUUUCAGCAUGUGUAUGGAUGGUAUACUAAGAAUUGAUCACAUUUGGUUGUUGAGGGGCCAGGAUGGCUGAUUGGAAGUAGCUGCAGUCUGUGGCACUCACAGAGAGGAAUGAAAGGAGCAAGUGAAUUCAGCACCUUCAAUUGAGAUAUUCGGGUUCUCAUAUUGGGACUGACUAAGCAAAUAGCUUGACCCACAGAGAAUGAAAAGAAGUGGGGUGGGGUGAUGACCCACUUGGGAGCAGCACCAAGCCAAGGGAACCCCCACCCCCAGCCAAGGGAAGUGGUGAGUCAAUGCGUGACCCUUCCCCAGAAAUUACACUCAUCCCAUGGAUCUCUGCAAGCUGUGGAUCAGGAGAUCCCCUCAUGAGCCACAAUACCAGGGUCUUGGGCUCGAUACAUGGCCUGUGUGGAGUCUUGGCAGAGUGGCCACUCAGGCACACACAGACACCCAGGAGUUUUGCAUACUCCAGCCCCAGGAUCUGUGGCAAGGCAGAAGAUUCAUCUGUGCAUGUCCCUAGGAAGGGGGCUGAGUCUGGGGAGCCAAGUGGCAUCAUUCUGCAGGCCCCAUUUCCAUGGCAUCUCACAGGUUGAGACCCAAUGGCUUGGAAUUCCAGCCAGCCGGCAGCAGUAGGCUGGAGUCUGCCUGAGUCUGGACCAAGUUCCCAGGGGUAGGGGUGGCUGCCAUCUCUGUGGUUUGGUAGACUCAGUUGUUUCAGCCUGCCAGCUUUGAAAAAUACAGGUGGUCUGAACAAGGGGGGGAUCCCCACAGGACAGCACAGCUGCCUUGCCAGAUCUUGGCCAGACUGCUUUUUUAAGCAGGACCCUGAACCAUUUCUUCUCACUGGGUGAGACCUCCCUGCAGGGGCUUCAGCCACUCCAGCAAGUGUUCUAUAGACAGAGCUCUGAUCUCUACCCCCAGGGAGAGCUUUGUCCCACAAAGCUCCAGGGGGAGGGGUGGCUACCAUCUCUGCAGUUUGGUAGACUCAGCUGUUCCAGCCUGCUGGCUUUGGAGAAUACAAAUGGUCCAGAUGAGGAAUGGUCCUCCCCAACUCAGCUUACCUGCUCUACCAAAGGGCAGUCAGACUGCUUCUUUAGGUAGGUCCCUGAUCCUGUUCUUUCCCACUGGGUGAGACCUCCUAGCAGGGGUCUUCAACCACCUCCUGCAGCCACAUUCAGGCUGGCAACAAGUGAGUGGCCCCGGAGUUGGAGUUUCUGGAGGAAGGAGCAGGCUUCCCUCUUUGCUGUUUUGCAGGCAUCACUUGUGAUACCUCCAGGUAUGGGAAAAACCGAGGCAACUAGGGUCUGGAGUGGAACCCCAGCAAACCACAACAGCUUUACUGAAGAGUGGCCUGUUAAAACAAACAGAAAAUAACAACAUCCACAAAGAUCUCACAAAAGUCAGAAACCUCAAAGAUUGAAGGUAGAUAACCCCACAAAGAUGAGAAAAAAUCAACACAAAAACACUGAAAACU
Molecule: long non-coding RNA, 1606 nt
Filed under: Homo sapiens (human)
Lineage: Eukaryota; Metazoa; Chordata; Mammalia; Primates; Hominidae
Description: HSALNT0310464
Source: RNAcentral